Molecule: small nucleolar RNA, 69 nt
Organism: Epinephelus lanceolatus (giant grouper)
Lineage: Eukaryota; Metazoa; Chordata; Actinopteri; Perciformes; Serranidae
Source: RefSeq, a predicted model, not a curated record
UGCUGAAUGAUGACAGAUCUUUCCCUGACAUCACUGUGAGGGUACAAACUGAUUUAAUGAGCCUGAUGC